Long non-coding RNA from Pyrgilauda ruficollis (rufous-necked snowfinch), 739 nucleotides. RefSeq lists it as uncharacterized. NCBI's taxonomy places the organism in Eukaryota, Metazoa, Chordata, Aves, Passeriformes, Passeridae. The transcript has 3 exons. The record is from RefSeq and is a predicted model, not a curated record.
UAAGCUGCUGCUGCUGCUGCCAGGAGAGCAAAGAAGGCACAGGGCAUCCCAUGUGACAUGGGAAACUUGAGGAGCAGCACAGGACACGGACCAGGUUGUUUCCAACAAAAGGAAUCUUCUAUCCUGAUUUUCCAGACAUGGGAUAGGCUUCCUGUAGAAGUACCUCCAGUGUUUUAAUUGAUGCAUGUUCACCAGGGAGAGCUGAUGCAACAAGAGGACAAUCAAGCCCAUGGUUCAACAGUUUCAGAAAUAAGUAUCUAAAAUUAGGUGCCUAAUUCCAUAAUUAGGAACUUGAGAAGAGGUGGACUGGUUUUUAAAAGUACUACAGGAGUGACAAAUUCUGCUGAAGUAAAUUUGAGCUGGAGAUCAGUUAUGUGUCUAUGUGGUCAAAAGGGAAAAGUCCUUCAUCUGAAGUGAAGCAGGACCUGAAGGAUGUAUCUCAGACAUUCCCAUGGCUCUCAGGGUCCAGGAAUGCACUGACUCAGGAGUGGAAGCUGAACCUGAAAUCUCCCACAUGGUCACAUAGAGCAGCACUGCACACCAGAUGUGGCUUUCUCUUGUCAUAUGCCUAAAACUUUUUUAAUGAUAAGUGGUUUUCAGGCUGGCAAUUAAUUUCCCUUGGCUUGAACUCCUAAGAACUAAAAGGUAAUGGGAAGCUACCUGGCUCAUUAAUUAAAAUGGAAAAAGUAUUUUGAGAUAGCAUUUUCCUGGAAGUGGGGUCCAUUUGUGUCUGAUGAGC